UAAUACGGAGGAGGCAAGCGUUAUCCGGAAUUAUUGGGCGUAAAGAGUCCGUAGGUGGGUAACCAAGUCAGUUGUUAAAUAGUGAAGCUUAACUUCAUAGAGGCGACUGAAACUGGUUGUCUAGAGUGUGGUAGGGGUAGAGGGAAUUUCCAGUGUAGCGGUGAAAUGCGUAGAUAUUGGAAAGAACACCGGUGGCGAAAGCGCUCUACUGGGCCUGCACUGACACUGAGGGACGAAAGCUAGGGGAGCGAAAGGGAUUAGAUACCCCUGUAGUCCUAGCCGUAAACGAUGGAUACUAGGCGUUGCCCGUAUCGACCCGGGCAGUGUCGUAGCCAACGCGUUAAGUAUCCCGCCUGGGGAGUACGCUCGCAAGAGUG
RNAcentral lists this ribosomal RNA (377 nucleotides) under uncultured bacterium. Its description in RNAcentral is "bacterial SSU rRNA". It matches the Rfam family "Bacterial small subunit ribosomal RNA", at positions 521 to 896 of the family's 1533-position model. The record is from RNAcentral.